AGAGAGAGACAUGCGCGCAUAUCAAUAAGCGGAGGAAAAGAAACUAACUAGGAUUCCCUCAGUAACGGCGAGUGAAGCGGGAAGAGCUCAAAUUUGAAAUCUUCAAGGUUCUACCUUGACGAAUUGUAGUUUAAAGAAGUGUUUUCUGUUGGAGUUUUGGUAAAAGUUCUUUGGAAUAGGACAUCAUAGAGGGUGAGAAUCCCGUAUUUGACCAUUAUUUCCAGCUUUGUGAUACACUUUCAAAGAGUCGGAUUGUUUGGGAAUGCAGUCCAAAAUGGGUGGUAAAUUUCAUCUAAAGCUAAAUAUUGGCGAGAGACCGAUAGCGAACAAGUACCGUGAGGGAAAGAUGAAAAGAACUUUGAAAAGAGAGUUAAACAGUACGUGAAAUUGUCAAAAGGGAAGCGUUUGACACCAGUGUUGUUUUCUCGAAAAUCAAUUAAAAGAACGGAUUUUGCUAGUUGUAUUAGACUUUAUCAGCUAACUGUUUAGUUUUGAUCUUUCUUUAAUGCACUUUUCAGUUAACAAGUCAACAUCAAUUUCUUUUGCUGUAAAAAGGCGGUCAUGGAAGGUGGCUUUAUAUUCGGCUUAAGUGUUUAUAGCCUCUUGGCCUAUGCAAUCGGAGAGAUUGAGGUCUGCAGCGUAGAUCCUUCGGGGCUAGAUACAUUUGUGCUAAGUUAUAGCCUUUCAUAGACAACUUGUUGACUAUGAUCAGUCAUGUAGCUUACUCGCUUAUGCUAUUUUACCUACGCUUAGGAUGUUGAUGUGAUACUGCGAGCA
RNAcentral lists this ribosomal RNA (777 nucleotides) under uncultured Neocallimastigales. RNAcentral describes it as "partial large subunit ribosomal RNA". It matches the Rfam family "Eukaryotic large subunit ribosomal RNA", at positions 23 to 646 of the family's 3401-position model. The record is from RNAcentral. Lineage: Eukaryota; Fungi; Neocallimastigomycota; Neocallimastigomycetes; Neocallimastigales.